GCAAGUCGAGCGGAAACGACAUUAUUGAUUCUUCGGAGGAUUUAAUGGGCGUCGAGCGGCGGACGGGUGAGUAAUGCCUAGGAAAUUGCCUUGAUGUGGGGGAUAACCAUUGGAAACGAUGGCUAAUACCGCAUACGCUCUACGGAGGAAAGCAGGGGCUCUUCGGACCUCUCGCGUCAAGAUAUGCCUAGGUGGGAUUAGCUAGUUGGUGAGGUAAUGGCUCACCAAGGCGACGAUCCCUAGCUGGUCUGAGAGGAUGAUC
Molecule: ribosomal RNA, 262 nt
Filed under: uncultured bacterium
Lineage: Bacteria
Description: partial 16S ribosomal RNA
Rfam family: Bacterial small subunit ribosomal RNA
Source: RNAcentral